RNAcentral lists this ribosomal RNA (495 nucleotides) under uncultured bacterium. RNAcentral's name for it is "bacterial SSU rRNA". It matches the Rfam family "Bacterial small subunit ribosomal RNA", at positions 30 to 509 of the family's 1533-position model. The record is from RNAcentral.
AUUGAACGCUGGCGGCAUGCCUAACACAUGCAAGUCGAACGGCAGCACGGUGUGUAGCAAUACACAUGGGUGGCGAGUGGCGGACGGGUGAGUAUAAAGUAGGAAUCUGCCUUAUAGACGGGGAUAACUUGGGGAAACUCGAGCUAAUACCGGAUAAGCACUACGGUGGAAAGUAUGGGACCGUAAGGCCAUACGCUAUAAGAUGAGCCUACGUCGGAUUAGUUAGUUGGUUAGGUAAAGGCUGACCAAGACGAAGAUCCGUAGCUGGUCUGAGAGGAUGAUCAGCCACACUGGGACUGAGACACGGCCCAGACUCCUACGGGAGGCAGCAGUGGGGAAUAUUGGACAAUGGGGGCAACCCUGAUCCAGCGAUGCCGCGUGUGCGAAGAAGGCCUGCGGGUUGUAAAGCACUUUAGUUGGGGAAGAAUGAGCGUAAUUCGAAUAGAGUUACGCAGUGACGUUACCCAAAGAAUAAGCACCGGCUAACUCUGUGCC